Molecule: small nuclear RNA, 107 nt
Organism: Sciurus carolinensis (gray squirrel)
Lineage: Eukaryota; Metazoa; Chordata; Mammalia; Rodentia; Sciuridae
Source: RefSeq, a predicted model, not a curated record
AUGCUCAUUUUGGCAGCAUGCAUACUAAAUUGGAAUGACACAGAAAAUGAUUAGCAUGGUCCUUGAGCAAGAAAGACAUGUAAAUUCAUGAAGUGUUCUAUGCUUUU